UUUUUUUUUUUCCUCCCCCACCUUCUCCACAUCCACCCCGUCCUCUAAAUACACACAUAAAUGGCGAGGAGGUGGCCCCCGGGGGACAUGGGGUGGGCUCGAAGAGGUUGGGGGGUGAGGGGUAGCUCCCCGCUCCCCCUCACAGUCAGGGAUCGGUCCCCAGUCCCAGCAUCAUUCCCUGCUCCCAGCAUCUGUCCCCACACCAGGAUCAUCAGUUCCACUCGCUGCCAUCCAUGGAAAAAGGAAAACCAACCCCGGAGCCAUGCCCGUGCUCGGCUGGCCCCCACAGCCCACCGUGCAAGUGGCCCACGGGCGAAGGCUCAGACUGUUUGAGGAUAAACUAAAACUUCAGCACUUCAGGUGGCCGUGCGUGCCCAUCACAGCCCGCAUCAGUACGAAGAGCUCAUCCCCGGACUUGCAGCCGGUGCAGGGGUUGCACAGAUGGAAGCCGGCUCCAGCCCUGCUGAGGGAUGGAGUUCUCCAAAAUCUGUCGGUGUGAAGGGGAUCAGAAAGAGGGGCCUGCUGCUACACUCACUUUGCAUUUCGCCCAGCCACAGCUGGGGUGCAAAGAAAGCCCUGAAGCUGCAGGAGGGGUUUUUACUAUUUGGAGGAAAUCAAAAAUUAAAAGGAGGAAGGACAAAAGUGAAAGGGGCGAAGCUGAAGCUCUAGGUCCUGGGUGAGGAUAAAACACCUCCGCUGCUCUGUGUUGCUGCAAUAUCUGCUCAUCACGGGAAUGGAUAUCCUGCCUGUCACCAAUACAGGAACGUAUUGGUGUAAUUAAAGCAUAGUUUGGGGGGAAAAAUAUCCUUUGUUAGUCAAACUAAUAUUUUGAAGACAGACAAGUCUGGAUGCACAAAACCUGCAGAAAGAGAGAUGAUGAAGGGCUUUGGGGUCUAAAAAAUUAUUUACUUUUCCUAUCCAUGUUAGCUGACCUAAUAGAAGACAGUUUGCACUGAAAACCUCACUGAGGACUACGCUCAGCAGGAAGAUUGUACAGAGGACAAAGUGCCAAGCUGCCACCUGUCACAUGCCAGCGAUAUUCUGAUCUGUAGGUCUAGGCACUGCACUGCCUUCCCUCUAACUGGGCUGCAAACUCAGGUGAGCUCAGGUGAAAAGCAAGAUUUAGCUUUGCUUCCCCAGGAAAACUCGAGCACAACAAAAUAAAAAACUGCAUCAAGACA
Molecule: long non-coding RNA, 1181 nt
Filed under: Anas platyrhynchos platyrhynchos (common mallard)
Lineage: Eukaryota; Metazoa; Chordata; Aves; Anseriformes; Anatidae
Description: lncRNA (ENSAPLG00000029509.1)
Source: RNAcentral